This 205-nucleotide long non-coding RNA is filed under the name Elaeis guineensis (African oil palm). RNAcentral describes it as "long non-coding RNA (EGUI_LNC008776)". The record is from RNAcentral. Lineage: Eukaryota; Viridiplantae; Streptophyta; Magnoliopsida; Arecales; Arecaceae.
CCAUCCCUAACAAUAAAAUUUGCACUUAUUGGUCAGCUAUCCAAACCUUAACUUAUAAUAGUUUGUACCUCUCUUGGGCACUCACCAAGCAAUGCCACUUACAAUUUUACUAUUCUUGAUUAUUAUAUUUACUAUAUACAACAUGAAAGUCAUAAGUCUUUUUUUUGCUUUUGUUGAGGGAAAAUGAAAGCAUUACAUAGGGGCA